CCUCCUGUAAGCACAGCUCUAGGGCGUUGCUGUAAGUCUCAAGACGUGUGCUGGUUCUGCUUCUUUUCAAGAGCAAGUAUAGGUUAAUACACUUCAGCAACAUAUAUCAAUGCUCCAUUUUACAGCUGUCUGCUUGAUAUGGCACAUACAAUUCUAGACAGCCUCAGGAACCCAACAGAUGGAAACAGUAAUUCAGAUCUUAUGAGGUGAAGCGUAAGAAUCCACAAGAAGAGGGACUGGAAAGGCACUUUACUCAAAGAAGCACUGAAUCUGGCUAUUUUCUAUACUGUAGGACCCUCCAGAAGCAGAGCUCCUGGGGUGAAUCUGCUGGUGGCAUUUGGAGUGCUUUAUACCUGGAGCCUGACAAAAAAAGGUUCAAUCUAAAAUUUUUUAUGGCCUAUAAUUAAAGUCACGGCAUUGGACUCUAUAGGAAUAAAG
Molecule: long non-coding RNA, 438 nt
Filed under: Struthio camelus australis
Lineage: Eukaryota; Metazoa; Chordata; Aves; Struthioniformes; Struthionidae
Description: lncRNA (ENSSCUG00000009156.1)
Source: RNAcentral